This 271-nucleotide long non-coding RNA is filed under the name Brassica rapa (field mustard). Its description in RNAcentral is "long non-coding RNA (BRAP_LNC003683)". The record is from RNAcentral. Lineage: Eukaryota; Viridiplantae; Streptophyta; Magnoliopsida; Brassicales; Brassicaceae.
GAGAGUAAAGGCACACGGCUCUCUUGGAAAUAGAAACAAAUGACAAGUUUGAAAAUAAAACAUGAAAUGAAAGACUUAUUAUAACAUAAGGUUGAUCCGGGAUAAGGUUGGAUCGAGAUCAUCAACUAAGAGAUUUGAGAAGCAAAUCUAUGGCCUCGUUAAAAACCUAUCUUUGGAAAACCCAUUGGGACAAAACCAAAGAUAGGGAAAAAGAGCACGCAUAGAUUGCUUGCUUAGUUGAUGAUCAGCUUGAUGGUGAAGUAGCUUGAAU